GAUGAAGAACGCAGCGAAAUGCGAUAAGUAAUGUGAAUUGCAGAAUUCAGUGAAUCAUCGAAUCUUUGAACGCACAUUGCGCCCGUCAGUAUUCUGGCGGGCAUGCCUGUUCGAGCGUCAUUACGCCCCUCAAGUCCCCUGUGGACUUGGUGUUGGGGAUCGGCGAGGCUUGUUUUCCAGCACAGCCGUCCCUUAAAUUAAUUGGCGGUCUCGCCGUGGCCCUCCUCUGCGCAGUAGUAAAACACUCGCAACAGGAGCCCGGCGCGGUCCACUGCCGUAAAACCCCCCAACUUUUUAUAGUUGACCUCGAAUCAGGUAGGACUACCCGCUGAACUUAAGCAUAUCAAUAAGCGGAGGA
This 358-nucleotide unclassified non-coding RNA is filed under the name soil metagenome. RNAcentral's name for it is "partial contains 5.8S ribosomal RNA, internal transcribed spacer 2, and large subunit ribosomal RNA". The stretch from base 1 to 120 matches the Rfam family "5.8S ribosomal RNA", at positions 35 to 154 of the family's 154-position model. The record is from RNAcentral.